GCUCAACAACUAGCUCGCCCCCCCCCAACAUAAAUAUAACCACAGCAAACCUCCCCCCAGAGUAAACAAACCAUUUUUCCCCUUAAGUAUGGGAGACAGAAAUAGGAACAGAAGCAAUAGAGACCAGUACCGCAAGGGAAAGUUGAAAGAGAUAUGAAAAAGCCAUUCAAGCAAAGAGCAGCAGAGCUAUCCCCUCGUACCUCUUGCAUCAUGAUCUAGCCAGUCAUACUCAGGCAAAGUGACCUUUAGUCUGAUUUCCCGAAACUAGACGAGCUACUUCAAGACAGCCUAAUAAGGGCUAACCCGUCCCUGUGGCAAAAGGGUGGGAAGAGCUUCAAGUAGAGGUGAUAAACCUACCGAGCCUAGUAAUAGCUGGUUGCUUAGAAAGUGAAUAUUAGUUCAGCCCCCUGCCUGCCCCCGCUAAACUAGGCCACACCCCCCUAGUGCCAGGUAACCAGAGGAGUUAGUCAAGAAAGGUUCAGCUUUCUUGAAAAGGACACAACCUUCCUGGGAGGGUAAUAUAUUAGCUACCCAAGGUAAACUAUCCAGGUAGGCCUAAAAGCAGCCACCCUCCCGAAAGCGUUAAAGCUCAAGUAGUCCUAAACCACUAAUUCCAAUCAACCAGUCAAGCCCCCCUCCUAAUACUAAGCUAUUCUACCCAGUAGAAGAAACCAUGCUAGAAUGAGUAACAAGAGGCCCAAGCGCCUCUCCUUGCACAAGUGUACCCCGGCCUGGACCCCCCACCGGAAACUACCCGACCCCACCCCCAGAGGGCACUGAACCCCAACCAAACAACCAGAAGAUCGUUCAAAUAAUAUCGUUAACCUUACACCAGAGUGCAACCAAGGAAAGACUAAAAGAGAGAGAAGGAACUCGGCAAACCCAAGCCCCGCCUGUUUACCAAAAACACCGCCUCUUGCAAUUUGAGAAUAAGAGGUCCCGCCUGCCCCGUGACAAUAGUUUAACGGCCGCGGUAUUCUGACCGUGCGAAGGUAGCGCAAUCACUUGUCUUUUAAAUGAAGACCUGUAUGAAUGGCACCACGAGGACUUAGCUGUCUCCCCUCUCCCGUCAGUAAAAUUGACCUACCCGUGCAGAGGCGGGUACACCCCCACAAGACGAGAAGACCCUGUGGAGCUUUAGGCCCAAGAAAGAGGACAUCAAGCCAGAAACAGCCACAGCCUAUCUUUCCCAAUGCCUUUGGUUGGGGCGACCACGGAGAUAAAACAAACCCCCGCGUGGACCGAGAGACCUCUCUUAGAACUAAGAGCCACCCCUCCAAGCACCAGAACAUCUGACCACCAAUGACCCGGCCCUGCCGACAAACGAACCGAGUUACCCCAGGGAUAACAGCGCAAUCCCCUUCCAGAGCCCCUAUCGACAAGGGGGUUUACGACCUCGAUGUUGGAUCAGGAUGUCCUAAUGGUGCAGCCGCUAUUAAGGGUUCGUUUGUUCAACGAUUAAAAUCCUACGUGAUCUGAGUUCAGACCGGAGUAAUCCAGGUCAGUUUCUAUCUGUGAUAUGUUCUUUUCUAGUACGAAAGGACCGAAAAGAAGAGGCCCAUGCCCCAAGCACGCCUCAUCCUCACCUAAUGAAGCCAACUAAAGCAGACAAGAGGACAUAAGAGGCAUGCCAAAGAGCAUGGUUA
This 1646-nucleotide ribosomal RNA is filed under the name Lampris guttatus (North Atlantic opah). Its description in RNAcentral is "16S rRNA". The stretch from base 87 to 1566 matches the Rfam family "Bacterial large subunit ribosomal RNA". Lineage: Eukaryota; Metazoa; Chordata; Actinopteri; Lampriformes; Lampridae. The record is from RNAcentral.